GAACGCCGUAGCAAUACGGUAGUGGCAGACGGGUGAGUAACGCGUGGGAACAUACCCCUCGGUUCGGAAUAACUCAGGGAAACUUGAGCUGAUACCGGAUACGUCCAAGGUUUUAAUCGACCUUGGAGAAAGAUUUAUCGCCGGGGGCUUGGCCCGCGUCUGAUUAGCUAGUUGGCGGGGUAACGGCCCACCAAGGCGAAGAUCGGUAGCCGGCCUGAGAGGGCGCACGGCCACACUGGAACUGAAACACGGUCCAGACUCCUACGGGAGGCAGCAGUGGGGAAUUUUGCGCAAUGGGGGAAACCCUGACGCAGCAACGCCGCGUGGAGGAUGAAGCCCCUUGGGGCGUAAACUCCUUUCGACCAAGACGAUAAUGACGGUACUGGUGGAAGAAGCACCGGCUAACUCUGUGCCAGCAGCCGCGGUAAUACAGAGGGUGCAAGCGUUGUUCGGAAUAAUUGGGCGUAAAGGGUGCG
RNAcentral lists this ribosomal RNA (476 nucleotides) under uncultured bacterium. RNAcentral describes it as "bacterial SSU rRNA". It matches the Rfam family "Bacterial small subunit ribosomal RNA", at positions 64 to 571 of the family's 1533-position model. The record is from RNAcentral.